UAGGUCUACAGGUGAUUGUUUAAAUAUAGAU
This 31-nucleotide non-coding RNA is filed under the name Mus musculus (house mouse). The record is from RNAcentral. Lineage: Eukaryota; Metazoa; Chordata; Mammalia; Rodentia; Muridae.